UGCAGUCGAGCGAAUCGAUGGGAGCUUGCUCCCUGAGAUUAGCGGCGGACGGGUGAGUAACACGUGGGCAACCUGCCUAUAAGACUGGGAUAACUUCGGGAAACCGGAGCUAAUACCGGAUACGUUCUUUUCUCGCAUGAGAGAAGAUGGAAAGACGGUUUACGCUGUCACUUAUAGAUGGGCCCGCGGCGCAUUAGCUAGUUGGUGAGGUAAUGGCUCACCAAGGCGACGAUGCGUAGCCGACCUGAGAGGGUGAUCGGCCACACUGGGACUGAGACACGGCCCAGACUCCUACGGGAGGCAGCAGUAGGGAAUCUUCCGCAAUGGACGAAAGUCUGACGGAGCAACGCCGCGUGAACGAAGAAGGCCUUCGGGUCGUAAAGUUCUGUUGUUAGGGAAGAACAAGUACCAGAGUAACUGCUGGUACCUUGACGGUACCUAACCAGAAAGCCACGGCUAACUACGUGCCAGCAGCCGCGGUAAUACGUAGGUGGCAAGCGUUGUCCGGAAUUAUUGGGCGUAAAGCGCGCGCAGGUGGUUCCUUAAGUCUGAUGUGAAAGCCCACGGCUCAACCGUGGAGGGUCAUUGGAAACUGGGGAACUUGAGUGCAGAGAGGAAAGUGGAAUUCCAAGUGUAGCGGUGAAAUGCGUAGAGAUUUGGAGGAACACCAGUGCGAAGCGACUUUCUGGUCUGUAACUGACACUGAGGCGCGAAAGCGUGGGGAGCAAACAGGAUUAGAUACCUGGUAGUCCACGCCGUAAACGAUGAGUGCUAAGUGUUAGAGGGUUCCGCCUUUAGUGCUGCAGCUAACGCAUUAAGCACUCCGCCUGGGGAGUACGGCCGCAAGGCUGAAACUCAAAGGAAUUGACGGGGGCCCGCACAAGCGGUGGAGCAUGUGGUUUAAUUCGAAGCAACGCGAAGAACCUUACCAGGUCUUGACAUCCUCUGACAACCCUAGAGAUAGGGCUUUCCCCUUCGGGGGACAGAGUGACAGGUGGUGCAUGGUUGUCGUCAGCUCGUGUCGUGAGAUGUUGGGUUAAGUCCCGCAACGAGCGCAACCCUUGAUCUUAGUUGCCAGCAUUCAGUUGGGCACUCUAAGGUGACUGCCGGUGACAAACCGGAGGAAGGUGGGGAUGACGUCAAAUCAUCAUGCCCCUUAUGACCUGGGCUACACACGUGCUACAAUGGAUGGUACAAAGGGCUGCAAACCUGCGAAGGUAAGCGAAUCCCAUAAAGCCAUUCUCAGUUCGGAUUGUAGGCUGCAACUCGCCUACAUGAAGCCGGAAUCGCUAGUAAUCGCGGAUCAGCAUGCCGCGGUGAAUACGUUCCCGGGCCUUGUACACACCGCCCGUCACACCACGAGAGUUUGUAACACCCGAAGUCGGUGAGGUAACCUCAUGAGCCAGCCG
RNAcentral lists this ribosomal RNA (1409 nucleotides) under Bacillus sp. Act28. Its description in RNAcentral is "bacterial SSU rRNA". It matches the Rfam family "Bacterial small subunit ribosomal RNA". The record is from RNAcentral. Lineage: Bacteria; Bacillati; Bacillota; Bacilli; Caryophanales; Bacillaceae.